RNAcentral lists this long non-coding RNA (482 nucleotides) under Taeniopygia guttata (zebra finch). RNAcentral's name for it is "lncRNA (ENSTGUG00000025481.1)". Lineage: Eukaryota; Metazoa; Chordata; Aves; Passeriformes; Estrildidae. The record is from RNAcentral.
UAUUUUCAGGUUUUAGGAGGACUGAUAAGACGACACUAUUGCUUUCCAAGUUACAUGGAAGAAUUUUUCAGCCAAGGACAAACUGAAAGCUAAGGACCUAUUGCAGAAUUAUCUGAUUUUACUUGGCAUUUGUUUAACUGUUGUGUGAAUCGCUGAAGGCCAUUUACUCUGACAAGAAAUGUCAAAUACACCAGUAAUAAAUCAAAACAGGAGAUGGAAUACAGUUCUCUCUCAUUUUUUCCUACUUUGGCAAGACAUCCUUCCCUGUUUCUGGCAACCAGACUAUCUUUAAAGCAGCACAUGGUAACACUGCACGCUCUGAAUGCUGGCUUCAGUGAGAAACAAGAAGCUUUUGAACAACAAAAGCCUGGAUCAAAUCUUGAGGUUUCACUCUCAAAGCUGGAGACCAGACUGCCUGCAGCAAUGGAAUUCCCUGCAUCCUAACCUGAGCAGGGGCAGAGGUAAGGAGGAAGGGAAAAAUG